CGGACGGGUGAGUAAUGUCUGGGAAACUGCCUGAUGGAGGGGGAUAACUACUGGAAACGGUAGCUAACACCGCAUAACGUCGCAAGACCAAAGAGGGGACCUUCGGGCCUCUUGCCAUCGGAUGUGCCCAGAUGGGAUUAGCUAGUAGGUGGGGUAAAGGCUCACCUAGGCGACGAUCCCUAGCUGGUCUGAGAGGAUGACCAGCCACACUGGAACUGAGACACGGUCCAG
RNAcentral lists this ribosomal RNA (231 nucleotides) under uncultured bacterium. RNAcentral describes it as "partial 16S ribosomal RNA". It matches the Rfam family "Bacterial small subunit ribosomal RNA", at positions 99 to 334 of the family's 1533-position model. The record is from RNAcentral.